CCCUUAGAUGUUCUGGGCCGCACGCGCGCUACACUGAGUGGAUCAGCGGGUCAGGUUACGCGAGAGCGUUUCCUAAUCUUCAAAUCCGCUCGUGAUGGGGAUUGACGGUUGCAAUUUUCCGUCAUGAACGAGGAAUACCUUGUAAGCGCGGGUCAUCAUCCCGCGCUGAAUACGUCCCUGCCCUUUGUACACACCGCCCGUCGCUCCUACCGAUUGAGUGGUCCGGUGAGGCUUUGGGAUCUAAGCGAAAAGAGCGUUUCGCUCCUUUUGCUGGGAGAACUCAGUCGAACCUUAUCAUUUAGAGGAAGGAGAAGUCGUAACA
This 322-nucleotide ribosomal RNA is filed under the name uncultured eukaryote. RNAcentral's name for it is "partial 18S ribosomal RNA". It matches the Rfam family "Eukaryotic small subunit ribosomal RNA", at positions 1470 to 1796 of the family's 1831-position model. The record is from RNAcentral.